UGGGGAAUCUUGCACAAUGGGGGCAACCCUGAUGCAGCGACGCCGCGUGAGCGAUGAAGCCCUUCGGGGCGUAAAGCUCUUUCGACCGGAACGAUAAUGACGGUACCGGGAGAAGAAGCUGCGGCUAACUACGUGCCAGCAGCCGCGGUAAUACGUAGGCAGCAAGCGUUGUUCGGAGUUACUGGGCGUAAAGAGUGCGUAGGCGGUUUUCUAAGGUCGGUGUGAAAUCUCCCGGCUUAACUGGGAGGGUGCGCCGAAGACUGGGAAGCUGGAGUGUGGGUAAGGCAUGCGGAAUUCCUGGUGUAGCGGUGAAAUGCGUAGAUAUCAGGAGGAACGCCGGCGGUGGAGACGGCUUGCUAGACCAUAACUGACGCUGAGGCACGAAAGCGUGGGUAGCAAACA
This 402-nucleotide ribosomal RNA is filed under the name uncultured bacterium. Its description in RNAcentral is "bacterial SSU rRNA". It matches the Rfam family "Bacterial small subunit ribosomal RNA", at positions 355 to 774 of the family's 1533-position model. The record is from RNAcentral.